This 500-nucleotide ribosomal RNA is filed under the name uncultured Sphingobacteriales bacterium. RNAcentral describes it as "bacterial SSU rRNA". It matches the Rfam family "Bacterial small subunit ribosomal RNA", at positions 903 to 1382 of the family's 1533-position model. The record is from RNAcentral. Lineage: Bacteria; Pseudomonadati; Bacteroidota; Sphingobacteriia; Sphingobacteriales.
UUGCCAGCCCGCUCAAGAACUCAAAGGAAUUGACGGGGCCCGCACAAGCGGAGGAGCAUGUGGUUUAAUUCGAUGAUACGCGAGGAACCUUACCUGGGCUCGAACGUAAGAUGACUGUAGGUGAAAGCUUACAUCUCUUCGGAGCAUUUUACGAGGUGCUGCAUGGUUGUCGUCAGCUCGUGCCGUGAGGUGUCGGGUUAAGUCCCAUAACGAGCGCAACCCCUACCUUUAGUUGCCAUCAGGUUAAGCUGGGGACUCUAAAGGAACUGCCUACGCAAGUAGUGAGGAAGGCGGGGAUGACGUCAAAUCAGCACGGCCCUUACGUCCAGGGCUACACACGUGCUACAAUGGCCGAUACAGAGGGCAGCUACCUGGUGACAGGAUGCAAAUCUCCAAAGUCGGUCUCAGUUCGGAUCGGAGUCUGCAACCCGACUCCGUGAAGUUGGAUUCGCUAGUAAUCGCGCAUCAGCCAUGGCGCGGUGAAUACGUUCCCGGGCCUU